This 460-nucleotide ribosomal RNA is filed under the name uncultured bacterium. RNAcentral's name for it is "partial 16S ribosomal RNA". It matches the Rfam family "Bacterial small subunit ribosomal RNA", at positions 338 to 795 of the family's 1533-position model. The record is from RNAcentral.
CCUACGGGAGGCAGCAGUGAGGAAUAUUGGUCAAUGGGCGCGAGCCUGAACCAGCCAAGUAGCGUGAAGGAUGACUGCCCUACGGGUUGUAAACUUCUUUUAUAAGGGAGUAAAGUGAGCCACGUGUGCCUUUAUGUAUGUACUUUAUGAAUAAGGAUCGGCUAACUCCGUGCCAGCAGCCGCGGUAAUACGGGGGGUCCGAGCGUUUAUCGGAUUUUUUGGGUUUAAAGGGAGCGUAGAUGGGUAGUUAAGUCAGGUGUGAAAGUUUGCGGGUCAACCGUAGAAUUGCCAUUGAUACUGGCAGUCUUGAGUACGGUAGAGGUAGGCGGAAUUCGUGGUGUAGCGGUGAAAUGCUUAGAUAUCACGAAGAACUCCGAUUGCGAAGGCAGCUUACUAAACUGCCACUGACAUUGAUGCUCGAAAGUGUGGGUAUCGAACAGGAUUAGAUACCCUUGUAGUC